UACGAAGGGGGCUAGCGUUGCUCGGAAUCACUGGGCGUAAAGGGUGCGUAGGCGGUUUGUCGCGUCGGGAGUGAAAACCUUGGGCUUAACUCAGGGCUUGCUUUCGAUACGGGCAGACUAGAGGUAUGCAGGGGAGAACGGAAUUCCUGGUGUAGCGGUGAAAUGCGCAGAUAUCAGGAGGAACACCGAUGGCGAAGGCAGCCCCCUGGGCUGACACUGACGCUCAGGCACGAAAGCGUGGGGAGCAAACAGG
RNAcentral lists this ribosomal RNA (253 nucleotides) under uncultured bacterium. Its description in RNAcentral is "partial 16S ribosomal RNA". It matches the Rfam family "Bacterial small subunit ribosomal RNA", at positions 524 to 776 of the family's 1533-position model. The record is from RNAcentral.